Long non-coding RNA from Dicentrarchus labrax (European seabass), 118 nucleotides. RefSeq lists it as uncharacterized. The transcript is spliced from 2 exons. NCBI's taxonomy places the organism in Eukaryota, Metazoa, Chordata, Actinopteri, Moronidae. The record is from RefSeq and is a predicted model, not a curated record.
UCCACUCCACCGUUUGAGUCCUCAUGUCGGAUGGAGGCUCCAGGUGACAUGGCAGGAUGACGUUAUCACCGACUGUUACUGUAACUGGUUUGUCUGAGCCAAUCACAUCAGACUCUCC